RNAcentral lists this transfer RNA (77 nucleotides) under Patescibacteria group bacterium. RNAcentral's name for it is "tRNA-Ala". It matches the Rfam family "tRNA". Rfam says of the family: Transfer RNA (tRNA) molecules are approximately 80 nucleotides in length. The record is from RNAcentral.
GGGGAUAUAGCUCAGCUGGUUAGAGCGCCUGCAUGGCAUGCAGGAGGUCGCGGGUUCGAAUCCCACUAUCUCCACCA